This 459-nucleotide ribosomal RNA is filed under the name uncultured bacterium. RNAcentral describes it as "partial 16S ribosomal RNA". It matches the Rfam family "Bacterial small subunit ribosomal RNA", at positions 338 to 795 of the family's 1533-position model. The record is from RNAcentral.
CCUACGGGUGGCUGCAGUGAGGAAUAUUGGUCAAUGGGAGAGAUCCUGAACCAGCCAAGCCGCGUGAGGGAAGACGGCCCUAUGGGUUGUAAAACUCUUUUGUCGGAGAACAAAACCCGGGACGUGUCCCGGACUGCGUGUAUCCGAAGCAAAAGCAUCGGCUAACUCCGUGCCAGCAGCCGCGGUAAUACGGAGGAUGUGCGCGUUCUCCGGAUUUAUUGGGUUUAAGGGGUGCGUAGGCGGUCCGGUAAGUAAGCGUUAAAAUUGCGGGGGUCAAACCCGGCGAGCCGUUGAUACUGGCAGAGUUGAGUUGGCGAGAAGUACGCGGAAUGCGCGGUGUAGCGGUGAAAUGCAUAGAUAUCGCGCAGAACUCCGAUUGCGAAGGCAGCGUGUCGGCGCCAGACUGACGCUGAGGCACGAAAGCGUGGGGAUCGAACAGGAUUAGAUACCCCUGUAGUC